UACGGAGGAUGCGAGCGUUAUCCGGAUUUAUUGGGUUUAAAGGGUGCGCAGGCGGCACGGCAAGCCGGCGGUCAAAUCGCGGGGCUCAACCCCGCCCAACCGUCGGAACUGCCGGGCUAGAGUGGGCGAGAAGUGGGCGGAAUGCGUGGUGUAGCGGUGAAAUGCAUAGAUAUCACGCAGAACUCCGAUUGCGAAGGCAGCGCACCGGCGCCCUACUGACGCUCAGGCACGAAAGCGUGGGUAUCGAACAGG
RNAcentral lists this ribosomal RNA (252 nucleotides) under uncultured bacterium. RNAcentral describes it as "partial 16S ribosomal RNA". It matches the Rfam family "Bacterial small subunit ribosomal RNA", at positions 524 to 776 of the family's 1533-position model. The record is from RNAcentral.